This 133-nucleotide ribosomal RNA is filed under the name Colletotrichum theobromicola. RNAcentral describes it as "partial 18S ribosomal RNA". It matches the Rfam family "Eukaryotic small subunit ribosomal RNA", at positions 1701 to 1831 of the family's 1831-position model. Lineage: Eukaryota; Fungi; Ascomycota; Sordariomycetes; Glomerellales; Glomerellaceae. The record is from RNAcentral.
GUGAGGCUUUCGGACUGACCUAAGGGAGGAGGCAACUCUUCCCCCUGGUCGGAAAGUUAUCCAAACUCGGUCAUUUAGAGGAAGUAAAAGUCGUAACAAGGUCUCCGUUGGUGAACCAGCGGAGGGAUCAUUA